Molecule: long non-coding RNA, 871 nt
Organism: Mauremys mutica (yellowpond turtle)
Lineage: Eukaryota; Metazoa; Chordata; Testudines; Geoemydidae
Exons: 3
Source: RefSeq, a predicted model, not a curated record
CCCGCCCCCGCCCCGUGGCCUCAGCGCGCCUCAGCCGUUCCAGAAGUUGACGAAGAAGCUGCAGAGCGAGUGCCACUGCUCCGCACAGGAAAUACACUGACUGUGAUGAAGCACAGAAACUGCCUGCCAGCACGGUAGGGGUUAAGGAGAGCCUUUGGGCCCAGCUAGCCCUGCCCAUCAUACCUGCAGCCAAUGCCAGGCCUGGAGCAGGGAGAAAAGGAGAGAGCCAGUUCAAGGCUAACUGGUGAAGAGGCAGGAGCUAACUACGGUGCUACUUGAAAGAAGGACCACUAGCCUGCUAGCCAAGGCAGCCACCAGGGAGCUCAUUCUGUCUCUCAGCCAAGGGAGACUGUGGAGGAGACCUCAGAACCUCCAGCAAUUGAGAACAGGCACAUCAUGAACAACAGUGCUACAAGCUUCCUGUAUAUCAUCCCAGUGAUGUACCUCGAACCUUACCAGGAGAGAGAUGAGAAGGUACAAUCAUCCAGACUAUUUAGUCCUAUCUUAUCUGCUGAGACUGCUAACAAGAUGAUGGCUCUAAGGUUGGUUUUUUUAUCAUGUAGGCAGACACCUGUCUCCUGGGAUGUACACUACUGAGAGUAAAGGACAAUUUUUUUCCCCUAAACUACAAUUGUGAAAGAUGCAUGUAUAGCAGAAUAAAACCUGUAUGUUUUCCCCAAAGGAAGGUGACUGUGCUGGCAAUAGAAUGUUGUAUUUCAUUUAUUGUUUGUAUUGUGGCUGCAACACAGGAGUCUAAACAGGGAUUAGUGGCCUAUUAUAUUAGCCAGUGUACAAGCAAAGACAGUCCUGCCCUAGAAGCUCACAGUCUAGGAUGACUAUUUCGUGCAAGAGCAUCCAUAAUUUGCAAAUA